This 231-nucleotide ribosomal RNA is filed under the name Clostridioides difficile. Its description in RNAcentral is "partial 23S ribosomal RNA". It matches the Rfam family "Bacterial large subunit ribosomal RNA", at positions 1793 to 2023 of the family's 2925-position model. The record is from RNAcentral. Lineage: Bacteria; Bacillati; Bacillota; Clostridia; Peptostreptococcales; Peptostreptococcaceae.
CAAGCGACUGUUUACCAAAAACAUAGGUUUCUGCUAAGUCGCCAGACGAUGUAUAGGAGCUGGCGCCUGCCCGGUGCUGGAAGGUUAAGGGGAUCUGUUAGAGCAAUCGAAGCAGUGAACUUAAGCCACAGUAAACGGCGGCCGUAACUAUAACGGUCCUAAGGUAGCGAAAUUCCUUGUCGGGUAAGUUCCGACCCGCACGAAAGGCGUAACGAUUUGGGCACUGUCUCA